GCCCAAUAUAUAUAUAGUAAUAUAUAUAGGGAAAGAGUGAUAGUGCAGAGUUGAGGAGGAAGAAGAAAGUGGAAGUGAUCGAUUACACAAACAAUGGCUGAUUUUGAGAUGCCCAGAGUUAGACUCGGAAUCCACGGAUUUGAGGCAUUAAAGGAUUUGCCUCGAGAAAAAGUUCAGUUAGCUACAAAAUUUGGAAUUGUCAAAAAUGGAACCUACUCAAGUUAUGGUGAAGGGUACUGUUGAAUAUGUGCGCUCCUGUUGUGAGGCUAGUUUGAAGCGCCUUAGUGUGGACUACAUUGAUCUCUACUACCUACAUUGGAUUUACACAUCAGGACCUAUAGAGGAGACUGGCAUUAUUUGUCUAUUCGGAAAUGGCAUCCAGAAUUUUGUCCCUCGAAGGCGUCUCACUAAACAAGUUCUCUUCAAGGGCUAUCAUUGCACAAGGUUUUAAAAAGAGGUUGCGGUGGUGCGGUUGUAGUUGUGGGUUGUAAAGGUCGUA
Non-coding RNA from Camellia sinensis, 499 nucleotides. NCBI's taxonomy places the organism in Eukaryota, Viridiplantae, Streptophyta, Magnoliopsida, Ericales, Theaceae. The record is from RefSeq and is a predicted model, not a curated record.